This 182-nucleotide ribosomal RNA is filed under the name uncultured bacterium. RNAcentral's name for it is "partial 16S ribosomal RNA". It matches the Rfam family "Bacterial small subunit ribosomal RNA", at positions 1319 to 1500 of the family's 1533-position model. The record is from RNAcentral.
CAUGAAGCCGGAAUCGCUAGUAAUCGCGGAUCAGAAUGCCGCGGUGAAUACGUUCCCGGGUCUUGUACACACCGCCCGUCACACCAUGGGAGCCGGGAAUGCCCGAAGUCAGUGGCCCAACCGCAAGGGGGGAGCUGCCGAAGGCAGGCCUGGUGACUGGGGUGAAGUCGUAACAAGGUACC